Molecule: ribosomal RNA, 478 nt
Filed under: uncultured Planctomycetales bacterium
Lineage: Bacteria; Pseudomonadati; Planctomycetota; Planctomycetia; Planctomycetales
Description: bacterial SSU rRNA
Rfam family: Bacterial small subunit ribosomal RNA
Source: RNAcentral
UUUCGCAAUGCCCGAAAGGGUGACGAAGCGACGCCGCGUGUGGGAAGAAGGCCUUCGGGUUGUAAACCACUGUCGGGAGUUAAGAAAUGCAAGGAUAUGAAUAGUGUCUUUGUUUGACUAAGGCUCCGGAGGAAGCCACGGCUAACUCUGUGCCAGCAGCCGCGGUAAUACAGAGGCGGCAAGCGUUGUUCGGAAUUAUUGGGCGUAAAGAGCACGUAGGCGGCUAUGUAAGUCGGUUGUGAAAGCCUUCCGCUCAACGGAAGAACAGCAUCCGAUACUACAUGGCUUGAGUGCGGGAGGGGAGAGUGGAACUUCUGGUGGAGCGGUGAAAUGCGUAGAUAUCAGAAGGAACGCCGGCGGCGAAAGCGGCUCUCUGGCCCAUAACUGACGCUGAGUGUGCGAAAGCUAGGGGAGCAAACGGGAUUAGAUACCCCGGUAGUCCUAGCCGUAAACGAUGGGCACUAAGUAGAGGGGUUUU